This 710-nucleotide ribosomal RNA is filed under the name uncultured Methanogenium sp. RNAcentral's name for it is "bacterial SSU rRNA". It matches the Rfam family "Archaeal small subunit ribosomal RNA", at positions 1 to 715 of the family's 1478-position model. Lineage: Archaea; Methanobacteriati; Methanobacteriota; Methanomicrobia; Methanomicrobiales; Methanomicrobiaceae. The record is from RNAcentral.
UUUCCGGUUGAUCCUGCCGGAGGCCACUGCUAUCGGAGUUCGAUUAAGCCAUGCGAGUCGAGAGGGUUCAGACCCUCGGCGGACUGCUCAGUAACACGUGGAUAACCUGCCCUAAGGUGGAGCAUAACCCCGGGAAACUGGGGAUAAUACUCCAUAGAUUACAGACACUGGAAUGUUCUUUAGUCGAAAGUUCUGGCGCCUUAGGAUGGAUCUGCGGUCGAUUAGGUUGUUGUUGGGGUAACGGCCCAACAAGCCUGUAAUCGAUACGGGUUGUGGGAGCAAGAGCCCGGAUAUGGAAUCUGAGACACGAUUCCAGGCCCUACGGGGCGCAACAGGCGCGAAAACUUUACAAUGCAGGAAACUGUGAUAAGGGAACUCCGAGUGCCCGUAUACGCGGGCUGUCCAGGUGUUUAAAAAACAUCUGAAGAAAGGGCCGGGCAAGACCGGUGCCAGCCGCCGCGGUAAUACCGGCGGCUCGAGUGGUGGCCACUAUUAUUGGGCUUAAAGCGUCCGUAGCUGGACCGAUAAGUCUCUUGGGAAAUCCGCCGGCUCAACCGGCGGGCGUCUAAAGGAUACUGUUAUUCCAAGGACCGGAGAGAGGUGAGAGGUACUCCGGGGGUAGGAGUGAAAUCCUGUAAUCCCCGGGGGGAGCACCGAUGGAGAAGGCAUCUCACCAGAACGGCUGCCGACAGUGAGGGACGAAAGCUGGG